UGUAGCAGCCCCAAAUCCGGGUCCCAAAUCGCCGCGGAUCCGGUUCGCUAUUUCUACAACUGUUUGCGGAAGAUAUAAACAUAGAUUGUUUAUACAUUACACUAUUCCCAAAAUCGAGUAACCUUAACUAAUACACAAUCGUGACUGUCUAACACAUGACAAUACUAUUCUUCAACAUACUUUACAACUUAACUUCACAUUCUAUCCCAAGCUGAACUUGGCAUUAUCCUUUUCCUGUAUCUGGCCGUAUUCGCCUUAUCUGCAAUGUUUUAUCAUGAUAUAGCAAGGGUGAGCAUGAAAGUUGCCCAGCAA
RNAcentral lists this long non-coding RNA (312 nucleotides) under Panax ginseng (ginseng). RNAcentral's name for it is "long non-coding RNA (PGIN_LNC018582)". The record is from RNAcentral. Lineage: Eukaryota; Viridiplantae; Streptophyta; Magnoliopsida; Apiales; Araliaceae.